RNAcentral lists this unclassified non-coding RNA (17 nucleotides) under Mus musculus (house mouse). RNAcentral describes it as "oocyte_clustered_small_RNA4735". Lineage: Eukaryota; Metazoa; Chordata; Mammalia; Rodentia; Muridae. The record is from RNAcentral.
CUACAACACCAUUUUCU